RNAcentral lists this ribosomal RNA (2727 nucleotides) under marine metagenome. RNAcentral describes it as "bacterial LSU rRNA". It matches the Rfam family "Bacterial large subunit ribosomal RNA". The record is from RNAcentral.
AGGGCAUUUAGUGGAUGCCUUGGGACAAAGAGGCGAUGAAGGACGUGGCACGCUGCGAUAAGCCCCGGUUAGCCGUGAGCAGGCUUUUACCCGGGGAUCUCCGAAUGGGGAAACCCACGGCUUCGGCCGUAUUACAUAAUGAAUACAUAGUUAUGUAAAGCAAACCCGGCGAAUUGAAACAUCUUAGUAGCCGGAGGAAAGGACAUCAACCGAGACUCCGUUAGUAGUGGCGAGCGAACGCGGAUCAGGCCAGUCUUUUAUAAAAUGAAAGCAGAACUGUCUGGAAAGGCAGGCUAUAAUGGGUGAUAGCCCCGUAUGCGUACAUCAUUUAAUAAAAGCUCGAGUAGGGCGGGACACGUGAAAUCCUGUCUGAACGUGGGGGGACCACCCUCCAAGCCUAAGUACUCCUUUGUCACCGAUAGCGAACUAGUACCGUGAGGGAAAGGUGAAAAGUACCCCUAUUAGGGGAGUGAAACAGAACCUGAAACCGAAUGCCUACAAGCAGUCGAAGCCUCCUUGAGAGGUGACGGCGUACCUUUUGUAUAAUGGGUCAGCGAGUUACUCUACGCAGCAAGCUUAAACCGUUAGGUGUAGGCGUAGCGAAAGCGAGUCUUAAUAGGGCGAUUUAGUUGCUUGGAGUAGACCCGAAACCGGGUGAUCUAGCUAUGAGCAGGUUGAAGGUGCGGUAACACGCACUGGAGGACCGAACCCACGUCUGUUGAAAAAGACGGGGAUGACUUGUUGCUAGGGGUGAAAGGCCAAUCAAACCCGGAGAUAGCUGGUUCUCCGCGAAAACUAUUUAGGUAGUGCGUUGUGUAUCACCAUCGGGGGUAGAGCACUGGAUGGGCUAGGGGGGAGCUAAUCCUUACCAAACCUAACCAAACUCCGAAUACCGAUGAGUGCAGCACAGCAGACAGACAUUGGGUGCUAAGGUCCAAUGUCGAAAGGGAAACAGCCCAGACCGCCAGCUAAGGUCCCCAAGUCAUGGCUAAGUGGCAAAGGAUGUGAGAAAUCCAAAACAGCCAGGAGGUUGGCUUAGAAGCAGCCAUCCUUUAAAGAUAGCGUAACAGCUCACUGGUCUAAAUAAGAUUUCUUGCGCCGAAGAUGUAUCGGGGCUAAAGCCAUGCACCGAAGCUGCGGAUGUGAUUUAUCACAUGGUAGCGGAGCGUUCCGUAAGCCUGCGAAGGGUUACCGCGAGGUAAUCUGGAGGUAUCGGAAGUGAGAAUGCUGACACGAGUAGCGAUAAACAGUGUGAGAGACACUGUCACCGAAAAUCCAAGGGUUCCUGCGUAAAGCUAAUCUGCGCAGGGUGAGCCGGCCCCUAAGGCGAGGGCGAAAGCCGUAGUCGAUGGGAACCAGGUUAAUAUUCCUGGGCCUGCUGGAAGUGACGAAUACCGUAAAUUGUAAAAGCUUAUUGGAUUGCUUUUGCAGUGAAGGUGUUCCAGGAAAUAACUCCAGCUUAUAGACCGUACUCUAAACCAACACAGGUGGAUUGGUAGAGAAUACCUAGGUGCUUGAGAGAACGAUGGUGAAGGAACUCGGCAAAAUGCCCCCGUAACUUCGGGAGAAGGGGGACCUUUUCUUGGGCAACCAGGAAGAGGUGGCACAGACUAGGGGAUGGCGACUGUUUACUAAAAACACAGGACUCUGCAAACUCGUAAGAGGACGUAUAGGGUCUGACGCCUGCCCGGUGCCGGAAGGUUAAGAGGAGGAGUGCAAGCUUCGAAUUGAAGCCCCGGUAAACGGCGGCCGUAACUAUAACGGUCCUAAGGUAGCGAAAUUCCUUGUCGGGUAAGUUCCGACCCGCACGAAUGGCGCAACGACUUUCCCACUGUCUCCACCAUCGACUCAGCGAAACUGAAUUCUCCGUGAAGAUGCGGAGUACGCGUGGUCAGACGGAAAGACCCCGUGCACCUUUACUACAACUUUACAGUGGUAUUAGAUGUUGAACGUGUAGGAUAGGCGGGAGCCUUUGAAGUGUCAGCGCCAGUUGGCAUGGAGGCAACCUUGAAAUACCGCCCUUUUUGCUUCUGAUAUCUAACCGAGGUCCGUUAUCCGGAUCCGGGACCCUGUAUGGUGGGUAGUUUGACUGGGGCGGUCGCCUCCCAAAGAGUAACGGAGGCGCGCGAAGGUAGGCUCAAGCUGGUCGGAAAUCAGCUGUGGAGUGCAAUGGCAAAAGCCUGCCUGACUGUGAGAGUGACAACUCGAGCAGAGACGAAAGUCGGUCAUAGUGAUCCGGUGGUCCCGUGUGGAAGGGCCAUCGCUCAACGGAUAAAAGGUACGCCGGGGAUAACAGGCUGAUACUUCCCAAGAGUUCAUAUCGACGGAAGUGUUUGGCACCUCGAUGUCGGCUCAUCACAUCCUGGGGCUGUAGCAGGUCCCAAGGGUUCGGCUGUUCGCCGAUUAAAGUGGUACGUGAGCUGGGUUUAGAACGUCGUGAGACAGUUCGGUCCCUAUCUGCCAUGCGUGUAGGAUAUUUGAGAGGAGCUGUCCUUAGUACGAGAGGACCGGGAUGGACAUACCUCUGGUGUACCUGUUGUUACGCCCGUAGCAUAGCAGGGUAGCUAAGUAUGGAAGGGAUAACCGCUGAAAGCAUCUAAGCGGGAAGCCUUCCUCGAGACUAGAUAUCCCUUGAGAGUUGUGGAAGACUACCACGUUGAUAGGCCAGGUGUGGAAGCACAGUAAUGUGUGAAGCUAACUGGUACUAAUAACUCGAUCGGCUUUAGU